Molecule: ribosomal RNA, 516 nt
Filed under: uncultured bacterium
Lineage: Bacteria
Description: bacterial SSU rRNA
Rfam family: Bacterial small subunit ribosomal RNA
Source: RNAcentral
AGACGCUGGCGGCGUGCCUAAUACAUGCAAGUCGAACGGUCUUUCUAUGGAAGCUUGCUUCCACUGAGAAGAUAGUGGCGAACGGGUGAGUAACACGUGGGUAACCUGCCCAUAAGGAGGGGGAUAACAUCCGGAAACGGGUGCUAAUACCGCAUAGUUUUCUUGAUCGCAUGAUCGGGAAAGGAAAGACGGCCUUUGUGCUGUCGCUUAUGGAUGGACCCGCGGCGUAUUAGUUAGUUGGUGAGGUAACGGCUCACCAAGACGAUGAUACGUAGCCGACCUGAGAGGGUGAUCGGCCACAUUGGGACUGAGACACGGCCCAAACUCCUACGGGAGGCAGCAGUAGGGAAUCUUCCGCAAUGGACGAAAGUCUGACGGAGCAACGCCGCGUGAGUGAAGAAAAGGUUUUCGGAUCGUAAAACUCUGUUGUCAGAGAAGAACAAGUUGGAGAGUAACUGCUCCAGCCUUGACGGUAUCUGACCAGAAAGCCACGGCUAACUACGUGCCAGCAGCCGC